RNAcentral lists this ribosomal RNA (253 nucleotides) under uncultured bacterium. Its description in RNAcentral is "partial 16S ribosomal RNA". It matches the Rfam family "Bacterial small subunit ribosomal RNA", at positions 524 to 776 of the family's 1533-position model. The record is from RNAcentral.
CACGUAAGGGGCGAGCGUUGUUCGGAAUUAUUGGGCGUAAAGGGCGCGUAGGCGGUCAUCCAAGUCUGGUGUUAAAGGCUGGGGCUUAACUCCGGUUUGGCGCUGGAAACUGGGUGACUUGAGUUUGAGAGGGGAAGCUAGAAUUCCUGGUGUAAGGGUAAAAUCUGUUGAGAUCAGGAAGAAUACCCGUGGCGAAGGCGAGCUUCUGGUUCAAAACUGACGCUGAGGUGCGAAAGCAUGGGGAGCAAACAGG